ACAGAGAGAAAUGAAAACCAAAAACAUUUCUUGGCUAGAUUGAAGAGAUUCUAAGGAGAUCCAAGUGAAAUCAAAGCCAAAGAAGUGGAUUAAGCUUAGUUUUGACCUUUUUAUAAUAAUUUCUUAUACUUGGAAGUUAAAUCACGUUUUUGAAUUUUGCUGAGAGAUUAUAUAUGGUAUUUUAUCUUGUUUAAGAUAUUUCUUGGUGGGUUCCAAGCGGUUUGAGGUUUAGAAAACCUGUAAGAGAUUGUUUCUGCCGAAAAGCUGCUCGUGUGUGGCUGCCUUAAAUCUUGAGCUCGACGAGGAAAUGAUGGAAUAUGAUUUUUGAUGCGCCUUACUGUGGUGAUGGCUAGUCGGAGGAGAACCCAUGAGAUUUUAUAUUAUAUGUGUAACAAGCCCUGCAGGCCUUGGCCUAAUCAAACAAUGUGCACAAUAUUAAGGGGCCCAAAAUUUAAAAAGAAGUUGUGUAUGCACAUUGACAUAGGGUAAUCAUUAGCAUUGCAUGCAUUACUUUGCUUAUUGAGCUUCAGGCUCACAAUUGUCUCGUGUUGUAGUUAAAGAAAGAAAUGAAUAAAUGGCAAAGGAGAACUGGAGCAUGGUCAUGACCCUGAUUUGUACA
Molecule: long non-coding RNA, 619 nt
Organism: Humulus lupulus (European hop)
Lineage: Eukaryota; Viridiplantae; Streptophyta; Magnoliopsida; Rosales; Cannabaceae
Exons: 2
Source: RefSeq, a predicted model, not a curated record